Molecule: non-coding RNA, 88 nt
Filed under: unclassified sequences
Source: RNAcentral
AGUAAACUGCCACCGGGUAGGAAAUGCAAAAGCAUUCGCGGCACAUCGUUAGGUCUUGGAAGAUGUGCGGGCGAAUGCUUUUUUUGGA